This 484-nucleotide ribosomal RNA is filed under the name uncultured bacterium. RNAcentral's name for it is "partial 16S ribosomal RNA". It matches the Rfam family "Bacterial small subunit ribosomal RNA", at positions 30 to 507 of the family's 1533-position model. The record is from RNAcentral.
AUUGAACGCUGGCGGCAGGCCUAACACAUGCAAGUCGAGCGGAUGAAGGGAGCUUGCUCCUGGAUUCAGCGGCGGACGGGUGAGUAAUGCCUAGGAAUCUGCCUGGUAGUGGGGGAUAACGUCCGGAAACGGGCGCUAAUACCGCAUAAGUCCUGCGGGAGCAAGUGGGGGAUCUUCGGACCUCACGCUAUCAGAUGAGCCUAGGUCGGAUUAGCUAGUUGGUGGGGUAAAGGCCUACCAAGGCGACGAUCCGUAACUGGUCUUAGAGGAUGAUCAGUCACACUGGAACUGAGACACGGUCCAGACUCCUACGGGAGGCAGCAGUGGGGAAUAUUGGACAAUGGGCGAAAGCCUGAUCCAGCCAUGCCGCGUGUGUGAAGAAGGUCUUCGGAUUGUAAAGCACUUUAAGUUGGGAGGAAGGGCAGUAAGUUAAUACCUUGCUGUUUUGACGUUACCAACAGAAUAAGCACCGGCUAACUUCGUG